This 255-nucleotide long non-coding RNA is filed under the name Elaeis guineensis (African oil palm). RNAcentral describes it as "long non-coding RNA (EGUI_LNC072289)". The record is from RNAcentral. Lineage: Eukaryota; Viridiplantae; Streptophyta; Magnoliopsida; Arecales; Arecaceae.
CUGGACGACCUCUAGGAGUCCAUCGUCUAUAUGAAAUCGGCUCCCCACGGUCUCUAUCGACUCGUCCACCAUGGUCCCUAUCUUAUGUGGUAUGUGUAAACUGGGAUUCACCGAUGAAUCAAAUAUCAUCCUGCGGCUAUCUCAUAAGCAGUGGUCUCCUGUCCUCCAGUUUCUUCCUGAUCAUCAGAUCCAUGACUACUAGUAUCAUCAUCAUUCUUUCUGAUCUCCGAAUCUGAGCCAGAUAGCUCCUGUACU